This 450-nucleotide ribosomal RNA is filed under the name uncultured bacterium. Its description in RNAcentral is "partial 16S ribosomal RNA". It matches the Rfam family "Bacterial small subunit ribosomal RNA", at positions 354 to 796 of the family's 1533-position model. The record is from RNAcentral.
GUGGGGAAUAUUGGACAAUGGGCGAAAGCCUGAUCCAGCCAUGCCGCGUGUGUGAAGAAGGUCUUCGGAUUGUAAAGCACUUUAAGUUGGGAGGAAGGGCAGUAAGUUAAUACCUUGCUGUUUUGACGUUACCAACAGAAUAAGCACCGGCUAACUUCGUGCCAGCAGCCGCGGUAAUACGAAGGGUGCAAGCGUUAAUCGGAAUUACUGGGCGUAAAGCGCGCGUAGGUGGUUCAGCAAGUUGAAGGUGAAAUCCCCGGGCUCAACCUGGGAACUGCCGCCAAAACUACUGAGCUAGAGUACGGUAGAGGGUAGUGGAAUUUCCUGUGUAGCGGUGAAAUGCGUAGAUAUAGGAAGGAACACCAGUGGCGAAGGCGACUACCUGGACUGAUACUGACACUGAGGUACGAAAGCGUGGGGAGCAAACAGGAUUAGAAACCCGGGUAGUCC